AUGAACUCUACUAAAGAAAAUACAUUCCUCAGCAAUUUUCACCCUGCAAGGAAAAGGGUCUCAGAUAAUCCCUUUUUAAAUUCAUACCUGAAAAGAAAUAAUGUCAGUGAUGACGAGAAAUUCCAAGCCUACAAAAGGGUUGAAGAUGAUGUCGGUGUGCCAAACAAAAAAAGGAGGCUCCUUUAUGAAACCCCUGGUUUACCUCCCAGCACUUCUGGUUUGGUAAGAAAAGUAGAUGUUCGAAGAACAUACUUACAGAAGCCACUGAUAUCAGAAACAACACAGCCUCAAACAGCAGACGUGAUCUCACAAACUUCAGAAGACAAAAACUCCUCCCUUGCCUGGAUGGAUUCCCAAGAUGAACAGGGAAGAAAGGAGGAAGAAAAUCUAUUUGGCUCUUUAAAAAAAAUGAUUAAUGAAAACCAAGAGCUAAGGAAAGAAAAUGCAAAAAUGAAGCAAAUACUUGUAGCACUCCAGAAUUCUGAAACGCCCAACUUUCGAGAUGAUUUUUUGACCUCAGGCCUAGUUACUCAAUCAUCAUCAUCCUCACCAUCACCACCCUCAACCUCAUCCUCCUCGGAGAGUGCCCAGAGGGUAUGACUGCACAGUUGCUUCCUGAGACUCCAACCAUUGGCCACCAAGCUGCUCCACUUUGCUCCAGCUGAUAACAUCAUGUCUGGUUUGGACCGGGCAAGGCUCAAGCAUGCCAGGUUCUGGUACUUCUCCAACCUCACUUCCUGGUACAGCUCCUCCUGGGCAAGGCCCAACUGCCCCCACUCCUCUCAUGUGAAGUCCACAGUAGCAUCCCUGAAGGUCACUGAUUCCUAAAAAACCAAAAAGGCUCACUUCAGUGGUCAUCCUUCCCAUGAAGCAGAGAAGUAAAGGUGGCCAGACAGAUUAGGAGGUCUGCUUAUAGCACCUGUCCCUUAAGAGCUCAGACACAUGUCCAAGUGCCUCAUUUGGGUGUGAGAUUCCAGCCCAGUAGCUUCUCCCCGUAGUGCAUCUUUCUCAUUCCACUUUUACUCUAUAAGAAAAUUUCAUUCUUUAAACAAUGCUGAAUGAAGAAUUAGGAGAGCUGCU
This 1080-nucleotide long non-coding RNA is filed under the name Sarcophilus harrisii (Tasmanian devil). RNAcentral describes it as "lncRNA (ENSSHAG00000024525.1)". The record is from RNAcentral. Lineage: Eukaryota; Metazoa; Chordata; Mammalia; Dasyuromorphia; Dasyuridae.